Molecule: non-coding RNA, 24 nt
Filed under: Cricetulus griseus (Chinese hamster)
Lineage: Eukaryota; Metazoa; Chordata; Mammalia; Rodentia; Cricetidae
Source: RNAcentral
UUCGCUGGAAGCUGUGGGAAGAAC